AGGUCCCGCCUGCCCAGUGAUCUUAUUUUAACGGCCGCGGUAUCCUAACCGUGCAAAGGUAGCGUAAUCAUUUGUCUCCCAAAUAGAGACUUGUAUGAACGGCUAACUGAGGGCCUAACUGUCUCCUAGGGCUAAUCAAUGAAACUGAUCUUCCAGUACAAAAGCUGAAAUAAACACAUAAGACGAGAAGACCCUGUGGAGCUUUAAACUAAUCCUAUAAAAACAUUUUCCACUAAGGAACAUAUACCUCACCCACUGUAAAUCAAUAGCAAAAGUUUUUAGUUGGGGCGACUUUGGAACAAAACAAAACUUCCAUGCCAGGGACCCCAUCCCUAUUAAGGCCUACAUGCCAAAAUAUAAAUUUUUUUGACCCAGCAUGCCUGAUCAACGAACCAAGUUACCCCAGGGAUAACAGCGCAAUCCUCUUCAAGAGUCCCUAUCGACAAGGGGGUUUACGACCUCGAUGUUGGAUCAGGACACCCCGGUGGUGCAACCGCUACCAAAGGUUCGUUUGUUCAACGAUUAAUAGUCCUACGUGAUCUGAGUCA
Molecule: ribosomal RNA, 548 nt
Filed under: Rhacodactylus cf. leachianus
Lineage: Eukaryota; Metazoa; Chordata; Lepidosauria; Squamata; Diplodactylidae
Description: partial 16S ribosomal RNA
Rfam family: Bacterial large subunit ribosomal RNA
Source: RNAcentral